GAGGAAAAGAAACUAACAAGGAUUCCCCUAGUAGCGGCGAGCGAAGCGGGAAGAGCUCAAAUUUAUAAUCUGGCACCUUCGGUGUCCGAGUUGUAAUCUCUAGAAAUGUUUUCCGCGUUGGACCGCACACAAGUCUGUUGGAAUACAGCGGCAUAGUGGUGAGACCCCCGUAUAUGGUGCGGACGCCCAGCGCUUUGUGAUACAUUUUCGAAGAGUCGAGUUGUUUGGGAAUGCAGCUCAAAUUGGGUGGUAAAUUCCAUCUAAAGCUAAAUAUUGGCGAGAGACCGAUAGCGAACAAGUACCGUGAGGGAAAGAUGAAAAGCACUUUGGAAAGAGAGUUAACAGUACGUGAAAUUGUUGGAAGGGAAACGCUUGAAGUCAGACUUGCUUGCCGAGCAAUCGGUUUGCAGGCCAGCAUCAGUUUUCCGGGAUGGAUAAUGGUAGAGAGAAGGUAGCAGUUUCGGCUGUGUUAUAGCUCUCUGCUGGAUACAUCUUGGGGGACUGAGGAACGCAGUGUGCCUUUGGCGGGGGUUUCGACCUCUUCACACUUAGGAUG
RNAcentral lists this ribosomal RNA (556 nucleotides) under Rhodotorula mucilaginosa. RNAcentral's name for it is "partial large subunit ribosomal RNA". It matches the Rfam family "Eukaryotic large subunit ribosomal RNA", at positions 53 to 628 of the family's 3401-position model. Lineage: Eukaryota; Fungi; Basidiomycota; Microbotryomycetes; Sporidiobolales; Sporidiobolaceae. The record is from RNAcentral.